AUAAUAAUAAAAUUUGAAAGGAGGAUAAGCCCAUCUCCAUUAGCAUUCGGCAAUCAUUGGCAACUGAACUGAAUUAGCAUAUAGUGCUUAUUGUCUAUUGGGAGAGCAUAAGAAUGAAAGACAGGUAACUGCCAUUGAAAUUUUGAGCUUUUAGGCGGGCAUUGGUUAGUGGAUUGUCAUAUUCUGCUCAACUCUUCCCAUUACAGGGAAGGGAAGCAUUGCGUGAGAGCAGAAGAGGCCAGUUUCUCACCAACUGCAGCAUGUUGGUCUAGGAUAAAAGGGCAUCUCAAAAUAAUAAUGAAACAAAUGUCCCAAUCAUUUCUAAGGUAUAAUAAUUCAUUGCCGACCAUUAUGCUUAAAUAGCUUCAUGUCCUUGGAUACAAUGAGGGGCUUCCUAGUACUCACCAUCUGGAGCAAGUAACCUUGUCUACAGACCACCAGAGGUAAGAACAGCUCAAAAAGUAGAAGGGUAGGUUGAUUGAAAGAAUAGCACAAUUCCACCUGCAGAGAGAAAGAAAGAUAGAGAGAGAUUCAAGAGAAAUGAUCUUUCAUUAGUUACCUGUACAAGAAAUGGAUUGAAA
RNAcentral lists this unclassified non-coding RNA (581 nucleotides) under Hevea brasiliensis (rubber tree). Lineage: Eukaryota; Viridiplantae; Streptophyta; Magnoliopsida; Malpighiales; Euphorbiaceae. The record is from RNAcentral.